UACGGAGGGCGCAAGCGUUACUCGGAAUCACUGGGCGUAAAGAGCGUGUAGGCGGAUAGAUAAGUCAGGAGUGAAAUCCUAUGGCUCAACCAUAGAACUGCUCUUGAAACUGUCUAUCUAGAAUAUGGGAGAGGUAGAUGGAAUUUCUGGUGUAGGGGUAAAAUCCGUAGAGAUCAGAAGGAAUACCGAUUGCGAAGGCGAUCUACUGGAACAUUAUUGACGCUGAGACGCGAAAGCGUGGGGAGCAAACAGGAUUAGAUACCCUGGUAGUCCACGCCCUAAACGAUGUACACUAGUUGUUGUGAGGCUCGACCUUGCAGUAAUGCAGUUAACACAUUAAGUGUACCGCCUGGGGAGUACGGUCGCAAGAUUAAAACUCAAAGGAAUAGACGGGGACCCGCACAAGCGGUGGAGCAUGUGGUUUAAUUCGACGAUACACGAAGAACCUUACCUGGUCUUGACAUACUAAGAACCUUUAAGAGAUUAGAGGGUGCUAGCUUGCUAGAACUUAGAUACAGGUGCUGCACGGCUGUCGUCAGCUCGUGUCGUGAGAUGUUGGGUUAAGUCCCGCAACGAGCGCAACCCUCGUCGUUAGUUGCUAACAGUUCGGCUGAGAACUCUAACGAGACUGCCUACGCAAGUAGGAGGAAGGUGAGGACGACGUCAAGUCAUCAUGGCCCUUACGACCAGGGCUACACACGUGCUACAAUGGGGUAUACAAAGAGCAGCAAUACAGUGAUGUGGAGCAAAUCUCAAAAAUGCCUCCCAGUUCGGAUUGUAGUUUGCAACUCGACUACAUGAAGUUGGAAUCGCUAGUAAUCGUAGAUCAGCUAUGUUACGGUGAAUACGUUCCCGGGUCU
RNAcentral lists this ribosomal RNA (860 nucleotides) under uncultured bacterium. RNAcentral's name for it is "SSU rRNA". It matches the Rfam family "Bacterial small subunit ribosomal RNA", at positions 524 to 1381 of the family's 1533-position model. The record is from RNAcentral.